UGACGAGUGGCGCACGGGUGCGUAACGCGUAUGCAACCUACCUUUAACUGAGGAAUAGCUCCGAGAAAUCGGGAUUAAUCCCUCAUAAUAUUUUUGAAAGGCAUCUUUUAAAAAUUAAAGUUUCGACGGUUAUUGAUGGGCAUGCGUGGCAUUAGUUUGUUGGUGAGGUAACGGCUCACCAAGACAUCGAUGCCUAGGGGGCCUGAGAGGGUGAUCCCCCACACUGGUACUGAGACACGGACCAGACUCCUACGGGAGGCAGCAGUAAGGAAUAUUGGGCAAUGGACGAAAGUCUGACCCAGCCAUGCCGCGUGCAGGAUGACGGCCCUAGUGGUUGUAAACUGCUUUUAUACGGGAAGAAAAGUUCCAACGUGUUGGAAUGUGACUGUACCGUAUGAAUAAGCAUCGGCUAACUCCGUGCCAGCAGCCGCGGUAAUACGGAGGAUGCAAGCGUUAUCCGGAUUCAUUGGGUUUAAAGGGUGCGUAGGCGGAUUGGUAAGUCAGUGGUGAAAUCCUCUCGCUUAACGGGAGAAUUGCCGUUGAUACUAUCAAUCUUGAGUACACUUGAAGUGGGCGGAAUGUGUCAUGUAGCGGUGAAAUGCAUAGAUAUGACACAGAACACCGAUUGCGAAGGCAGCUCACUAAAUUGUAACUGACGCUGAGGCACGAAAGCGUGGGGAGCAAACAGGAUUAGAUACCCUGGUAGUCCACGCUGUAAACGAUGAUCACUAGCUGUUGGCGAUACACUGUCAGCGGCUGAGCGAAAGUAUUAAGUGAUCCACCUGGGGAGUACGAUCGCAAGGUUGAAACUCAAAGGAAUUGACGGGGGCCCGCACAAGCGGAGGAGCAUGUGGUUUAAUUCGAUGAUACGCGAGGAACCUCACCUAGGCUUAAAUGCUUUUUGACCGUCCUGGAAACAGGAUUUCCCUUCGGGGCAAAUUGCAAGGUGCUGCAUGGUUGUCGUCAGCUCGUGCCGUGAGGUGUCGGGUUAAGUCCCAUACCGAGCGCAACACCUAUUAUUAGUUGCCAUCAGGUAAUGCUGGGAACUCUAAGGAAACUGCCUCCGCAAGUAGUGAGGAAUGGUGGGGAUGAUGUCAAAUCAGCA
Molecule: ribosomal RNA, 1105 nt
Filed under: uncultured organism
Description: bacterial SSU rRNA
Rfam family: Bacterial small subunit ribosomal RNA
Source: RNAcentral